Molecule: ribosomal RNA, 1579 nt
Filed under: Escherichia coli
Lineage: Bacteria; Pseudomonadati; Pseudomonadota; Gammaproteobacteria; Enterobacterales; Enterobacteriaceae
Description: partial 23S ribosomal RNA
Rfam family: Bacterial large subunit ribosomal RNA
Source: RNAcentral
AAACCCAGUGUGAUUCGUCACACUAUCAUUAACUGAAUCCAUAGGUUAAUGAGGCGAACCGGGGGAACUGAAACAUCUAAGUACCCCGAGGAAAAGAAAUCAACCGAGAUUCCCCCAGUAGCGGCGAGCGAACGGGGAGCAGCCCAGAGCCUGAAUCAGUGUGUGUGUUAGUGGAAGCGUCUGGAAAGGCGCGCGAUACAGGGUGACAGCCCCGUACACAAAAAUGCACAUGCUGUGAGCUCGAUGAGUAGGGCGGGACACGUGGUAUCCUGUCUGAAUAUGGGGGGACCAUCCUCCAAGGCUAAAUACUCCUGACUGACCGAUAGUGAACCAGUACCGUGAGGGAAAGGCGAAAAGAACCCCGGCGAGGGGAGUGAAAAAGAACCUGAAACCGUGUACGUACAAGCAGUGGGAGCACGCUUAGGCGUGUGACUGCGUACCUUUUGUAUAAUGGGUCAGCGACUUAUAUUCUGUAGCAAGGUUAACCGAAUAGGGGAGCCGAAGGGAAACCGAGUCUUAACUGGGCGUUAAGUUGCAGGGUAUAGACCCGAAACCCGGUGAUCUAGCCAUGGGCAGGUUGAAGGUUGGGUAACACUAACUGGAGGACCGAACCGACUAAUGUUGAAAAAUUAGCGGAUGACUUGUGGCUGGGGGUGAAAGGCCAAUCAAACCGGGAGAUAGCUGGUUCUCCCCGAAAGCUAUUUAGGUAGCGCCUCGUGAAUUCAUCUCCGGGGGUAGAGCACUGUUUCGGCAAGGGGGUCAUCCCGACUUACCAACCCGAUGCAAACUGCGAAUACCGGAGAAUGUUAUCACGGGAGACACACGGCGGGUGCUAACGUCCGUCGUGAAGAGGGAAACAACCCAGACCGCCAGCUAAGGUCCCAAAGUCAUGGUUAAGUGGGAAACGAUGUGGGAAGGCCCAGACAGCCAGGAUGUUGGCUUAGAAGCAGCCAUCAUUUAAAGAAAGCGUAAUAGCUCACUGGUCGAGUCGGCCUGCGCGGAAGAUGUAACGGGGCUAAACCAUGCACCGAAGCUGCGGCAGCGACGCUUAUGCGUUGUUGGGUAGGGGAGCGUUCUGUAAGCCUGUGAAGGUGUACUGUGAGGUAUGCUGGAGGUAUCAGAAGUGCGAAUGCUGACAUAAGUAACGAUAAAGCGGGUGAAAAGCCCGCUCGCCGGAAGACCAAGGGUUCCUGUCCAACGUUAAUCGGGGCAGGGUGAGUCGACCCCUAAGGCGAGGCCGAAAGGCGUAGUCGAUGGGAAACAGGUUAAUAUUCCUGUACUUGGUGUUACUGCGAAGGGGGGACGGAGAAGGCUAUGUUGGCCGGGCGACGGUUGUCCCGGUUUAAGCGUGUAGGCUGGUUUUCCAGGCAAAUCCGGAAAAUCAAGGCUGAGGCGUGAUGACGAGGCACUACGGUGCUGAAGCAACAAAUGCCCUGCUUCCAGGAAAAGCCUCUAAGCAUCAGGUAACAUCAAAUCGUACCCCAAACCGACACAGGUGGUCAGGUAGAGAAUACCAAGGCGCUUGAGAGAACUCGGGUGAAGGAACUAGGCAAAAUGGUGCCGUAACUUCGGGAGAAGG